Molecule: ribosomal RNA, 253 nt
Filed under: uncultured bacterium
Lineage: Bacteria
Description: partial 16S ribosomal RNA
Rfam family: Bacterial small subunit ribosomal RNA
Source: RNAcentral
UACAGAGGUGGCAAGCGUUGUUCGGAAUUACUGGGCGUAAAGGGCGCGUAGGCGGCCAUCUAAGUCAGACGUGAAAUCCCCCGGCUUAACCUGGGAACUGCGUCUGAUACUGGACGGCUGGAGUUUGGGAGAGGGAUGUAGAAUUCCAGGUGUAGCGGUGAAAUGCGUAGAUAUCUGGAGGAACACCGGUGGCGAAGGCGCCCACCUGGCCUGCUACUGACGCUGAAGCUCGAAAGCUAGGGGAGCAAACGGG